Molecule: long non-coding RNA, 620 nt
Filed under: Homo sapiens (human)
Lineage: Eukaryota; Metazoa; Chordata; Mammalia; Primates; Hominidae
Description: HSALNT0255688
Source: RNAcentral
CGCCAUAAAAUUAGUUACAACCCUGAGCAGUGGAUAGGGUGCUGGUGCUUGCAGGAGGGCGAGUCCUUUAAAUAGGGAACUCCCUCAAAGCAUGUGCACUUUUAUUUGAUUUAUAAGAAAUAUCAUUUGGUCCAAAGUUUUGAAGAAUGAAACAGAUGUUUGCUCUUGUUGCCCAUGCUGGAGUGCAGUGGUUAAGAUCUCGGCUUACCACAACCUCCACCUCCCGGGUUCAAGCGGUUCUCCUUCCUCAGCCUCCCGAGUAGCUAGGAUUACAGGCAUGUGCCACCACGCCCGGCUAAUUUUGUAUUUUUAGUAGAGACAGGGUUUCUCCAUGUUAGUCAGGCUAGUCUAGAACUCCCGAGCUUAGGUGAUCUACCCAUCUGGGCCUCCCAAAUUGCUGCGAUUACAGGCGUGAGCCACCCCACCUGGCCCGGAGAAUGCUACUUUUAAAAAUAGGAACAAGCCAGGAGCUCAUCCAAUCUUGUUCCUUUUCUAACUUUCUUUCUCUGGAAAUAGUUCCUUUUCUAACUUUCUUUCUCUGGGCCUCUUUCACCCAGAGGCCCACAAGAGGGUGCUGUCUGCCUUUUAGAUGGAACUUCCUGACUCUGCCCUGAGGGUAU